AACGAACGCUGGCGGCAUGCCUAACACAUGCAAGUCGAACGAGACCUUCGGGUCUAGUGGCGCACGGGUGCGUAACGCGUGGGAACCUGCCCUUAGGUUCGGAAUAACUCCCCGAAAGGGGUGCUAAUACCGGAUAAUGUCUUCGGACCAAAGAUUUAUCGCCUUUGGAUGGGCCCGCGUUGGAUUAGCUAGUUGGUAGGGUAAAAGGCUACCAAGGCGACGAUCCAUAGCUGGUCUGAGAGGAUGAUCAGCCACACUGGGACUGAGACACGGCCCAGACUCCUACGGGAGGCAGCAGUGGGGAAUAUUGGACAAUGGGCGAAAGCCUGAUCCAGCAAUGCCGCGUGAGUGAUGAAGGCCUUAGGGUUGUAAAGCUCUUUUACCCGGGAUGAUAAUGACAGUACCGGGAGAAUAAGCUCCGGCUAACUCCGUG
This 433-nucleotide ribosomal RNA is filed under the name uncultured bacterium. Its description in RNAcentral is "partial 16S ribosomal RNA". It matches the Rfam family "Bacterial small subunit ribosomal RNA", at positions 29 to 507 of the family's 1533-position model. The record is from RNAcentral.